Colius striatus (speckled mousebird) is the source of this 2747-nucleotide RNA transcript. It is a transcript of the gene named katanin catalytic subunit A1, with no coding region annotated. The record is from RefSeq and is a predicted model, not a curated record. NCBI's taxonomy places the organism in Eukaryota, Metazoa, Chordata, Aves, Coliiformes, Coliidae. The transcript has 13 exons.
GGGUUAUCGCCGCUGGAGAAGGAAGGGGGAGGAAGCUCAGCGUAGGGGUCCUGGCUGCGGAGAGUUGAUGCCGCGGCGGUGCCGAGCCCUGGAGAGGAAGAGAAGCAGAAGGCACCAGUACUAAGUAUCUAUUCUGCUGCAGAACCUUCUAAAUUUUCCGAGAAACUUGCUAUUUCAACGUUGACCUUGUUAAGAGUGUCGGCCCCCGUGGAACAGGGACUUCAUGUUGAACAUGAGCCUUGUUAUGAUCAGUGAGAAUGUAAAGCUGGCCCGUGAAUAUGCCUUGCUGGGAAAUUAUGACUCUGCGAUGGUCUACUACCAGGGAGUCCUUGACCAAAUGAAUAAAUACCUCUACUCUGUCAGAGAUACCUAUCUGCAACAGAAGUGGCAACAGGUUUGGCAGGAGAUUAGUGUGGAAGCUAAGCAUGUGAAAGAUAUAAUGAAAACACUAGAGAGUUUUAAACUAGAUAGUACUCCACUGAAAGCUUCACAACAAGAAUUACCAGCUCAUGAUGCGGAAGUCUGGUCUUUGCCAGUACCUGCUGAACGUAGACCUUCGCCAGGACCCAGGAAACGUCAGUCUGCUCAGUGCAGUGAUUGUAGAAGCCACAAUAACCGCAUAAACCCAACUGUCAGAGGCCCUCACCGUCCAUCCUCUCGCAAUCCCAAUGACAAAGGAAAGGCGGUCCGCAGCCGGGAAAAAAAGGAUCAGCAAAAUAAAGGAAAAGAGGAAAAGAACAAAUCCACAUGUGAGAUUUCAGAGUCUGAGCCAAAGAAAUUUGAUGGUACUGGAUAUGAUAAAGAUUUAGUAGAAGCUUUGGAAAGAGAUAUAAUUUCUCAGAAUCCCAACAUUCGAUGGGAUGACAUUGCUGAUUUAGUAGAAGCCAAAAAGCUGCUUAAGGAAGCUGUAGUUUUACCAAUGUGGAUGCCGGAGUUUUUUAAGGGAAUUAGAAGACCAUGGAAGGGUGUGCUGAUGGUUGGUCCUCCUGGCACUGGAAAGACCCUCCUGGCAAAAGCUGUAGCCACUGAAUGCAAGACUACUUUUUUCAAUGUUUCUUCUUCCACACUUACCUCUAAGUACAGAGGAGAAUCUGAGAAACUUGUUCGUCUACUGUUUGAAAUGGCUCGAUUUUAUGCCCCGACAACUAUAUUUAUUGAUGAGAUUGACUCUAUCUGUAGUCGCAGGGGAACAUCGGAGGAGCACGAAGCCAGCCGGCGGGUGAAAGCAGAGCUGCUUGUCCAAAUGGAUGGUGUUGGAGGGGCUACUGAAAAUGAUGAUCCUUCCAAGAUGGUCAUGGUACUUGCUGCUACUAAUUUUCCUUGGGACAUUGACGAAGCCCUAAGACGGAGGCUAGAAAAGAGAAUUUACAUUCCGUUGCCAUCAGCAAAAGGUAGAGAGGAACUCCUAAGAAUAAAUCUACGAGAGCUGGAACUGGCUGAUGAUGUUGACCUUGCAAAUAUAGCUGAGAAAAUGGAGGGUUACUCAGGUGCAGACAUCACCAACGUAUGCAGGACUUGGAGGUAGCAGGGAAGUGUAGCAGUGCAAGGCUUUUGCUCCUAGGAGUUUGGAGGCUCCAUACUAUUUCCUGAGCAAACUCUACGCAGUGUCGGAAAAGGAUGGUAUGUUAGUUGUUCUGCAUCAGUGUUGUGCAGGUUUGUGUCAUUCAUAGGUCUGUGAGUUGAAUUUGUGGUGGUGUUUUCUCAGUCUUGGUGUUGGUUAUGCUUUGAAAGGAGUUUGUGCUAAGAAGUUCAUCUUCUAUGAACAGAGUUUACCUGGCCUGCUGCUUUGCUCAUUUUAGAGGCAGUUUGUCUCCUCCAGUCUGUUCAGUGUUCAUUAUUUGUAACUCAUUUCAUAUGGGAUCCCAAUACACCUGUUUUUUUAAAGACAGAAUACCUGUAACAUUUUUCAAUGAAUUUCAUAUCUAUAAAUGUACAUGCACACUGUUGCUUUGUAUUUUCAAUCAAAGUGCAUUUGUACAAAUACUAUUAAAGAAAAAAACCAAAAGCAAGCAAACAAACAAAAAAAAACCCACAAAGAAACCCGAGUGUUUCAUUUGUGGCAGUUUCCGUAGAGAUGACUGAGAUGAUAGCAACCAAAAAUCCAGAAAAACUGGGAUUUGGAUGUACAUUAUGUGAAAUUAUAAAAAGUACUCCUAUUAGCCUGUGUUUUUACACUUUAAUGCUGUCAGGAAAAACAGAUCAGACGUGAUUUUGGAGAGGAACAACCCCAUGCACCAGUACAGCCUGGGGACUGACCUGCUGGAGAGCAGCUCUGCAGAGAGAGACCUGGGAGUGCUGGCUGACAAUAAACUAACCAUGAGCCAGCAAUGUGCCCUCGUGGCCAAGAAGGCCAAUGGCAUCUUCGGAUGCAUCAAGAAGAAUGUGGCCAGUAGGUUGGAGGAGGUUCUCCUCCCUCUACUCUAUGCUGGUGAGGCCUCGUCUGGAGUCCUGUGUUCAGUUCUGGGCUCUCCACUUCAAGAGUGAUAAAGAACUCCUGGAGAGAGUCCAGUACAAGGCCACCAAGACGAUUAGGGGACUUGGAGCAUCUCUCAUGAGGAACAGCUGUGGAAUCUGAGGCCGUUUAGCCUGGAGAAAAGAUGACUGAGGGGAGGACCUCAUUAACCCUUACAAGUACUUAAAGGGUGGAUGUCAGAAGGAUGGGAGAUGCGUCGCUGAUGGCCAUGAGGAGGCGUAUUGAGGGCUUGACGCCAGAAGAAAUAAGAAAUCUUUCCCGAGAUGAGAUGCAC